Molecule: long non-coding RNA, 1663 nt
Organism: Oncorhynchus nerka (sockeye salmon)
Lineage: Eukaryota; Metazoa; Chordata; Actinopteri; Salmoniformes; Salmonidae
Exons: 2
Source: RefSeq, a predicted model, not a curated record
AUGCUUCAAAACAGCAACGAGCUAAUAGUUCAUCAGAGAACACACGCAUGAGAGAAGCCUGCUUACGUCUGCUCUGACUUUUGCGUGAGAGAGAAGUCUUACUCCUGCUCUGUGGAAGGGUGGGCGUGUAACUCAAACUUCUAGCCAAAGGCUGCUGUGUUUAGAAUCUCAUCAAGGAGGACUGUAGCAUUUUAGCUAAUCAGCAACUUUGCUACUACUUUUUUAGCUAUUACUUAGCAUGUUAGCUUAGCAUGCAACUUUGCAACUACUUACUACUUUUUAGCUAUUACUUAGUAUGUUCGCAUAUCAUACAUAUUACAAGUUCGUAACAUAUUGUAUGAAUAGCAAUGCGUAAAAUAACGUAAGAAUUGUAAUUCGGAACAUACGAUUCAUCCUAGAAGUCGUAUUAUACUGAACAAUUUAAACACAACAAUUUCAAAGAUUUAUAGUUUGUAUAAGGAAAUCAGUCAUUUUAAAUAAGAGGCCAUAAUCUAUGGAUUUCACAUGACUGGGCAGGGGCUCCGCCAUGGGUGGGAGUUGGGAGUGCAUAGGCCCACUUGGGAGCCAGGCCCAUUCAAUCGGCAUGAGUUUUUCCCCACAAAAGGUCUUGAUUACAGACAGAAAUACUACUCAGCCCCCUCCCAGACAAUCCUGCAGGUGAAGAGGUCCUGGGCUGCCGUGGUUACAUGUGAUCUGCAGUUGUGAGGCCGGUUGGAUGUACUGCCAAAUUCUCUAAAAGGACGUUAGAGGUGGCUUAUGGUAGAGAGAUACAUAUUGAAUUCUCUCCUGCAGUCAUCAUGACAAUUGCACAUUCCCUGAAUUUGAGAUAUAUGUGACAUUGUGUUGUGUGGCCUUUUAUUGUCCCCCAGCACAAGGUGCACUUGUGUAAUGAUAAUGCUGUUUUAUCAGCAUCUUGAUAUGCCACACCUGUCAGGUGGAUGGAUUAUCUUGACAAAGGCUGAAAUGCUCACGAACAGGGAUGUAAACAAAGUUGGUCACAACAUUUGAGAGAAAUUAGCUUUUUCUGCACAUGGAACAUUGCUGGAAUGUUUUAUUUCAGCUCAUGAAACCAACACUUUACAUGUUUAGUUUAUAUUUUAGUUCAGUUUAUAUUGGUAUUGUAAUGUAACCUAACAUACUAAAUGGAGUGGCACGGAUGUUUUUGUAAUACAUAAUACGUUUUGCUCUGAGACCAAGUUGUCCCUCUGCAGUAUUCUGUGGGAAUGAGCUAGUAGACACUUCUUUAAAAAAAACAUUUUUUGAAACUUUAUUUAACUAGGCAAGUCUGUUAAGAACAAAUUCUUAUUUACAAUGAUGGCCUAGGAACAGUGGGUUAACUGCCUUGGCAGAACAACAGAGUUUUACCUUGUCAGCUCGGGGACCUUUUGGUUACUGGCCCAAUGCUCUAACCACAAGUCUACCUUCCGCCCCUAACAUGUAUCAGAUAGAGAUGGUGUGAUGAUCACUUUUCACCACUAGUUUGGGGGGAUUAUUUUACAACUUUAUUUAAUGAUACACAGUUUAUGAAAUUAAUCCAUGUGUUUAUGAAUUGUCUUUCAAACUAGAUGAGUUAUUUUAGUUACUGAUCAUGAAUGUGUUUGGAAAACUCUAUUGAAAACCCUUAUUGAUCUGCCAAUGAAAAAUAAAGUUACAUGAAUAUGUA